Molecule: long non-coding RNA, 11434 nt
Filed under: Homo sapiens (human)
Lineage: Eukaryota; Metazoa; Chordata; Mammalia; Primates; Hominidae
Description: HSALNT0004676
Rfam family: mir-1302 microRNA precursor family (bases 3628-3679)
Source: RNAcentral
CCACACCCUGAAUUGUACUCUGUUACCUUAGAAGUAGUGCAUUUGAUGGUUGUUUUGAAAAAAUAAAUGAAUGAAGGAGGACCAGUUCAUAUUACCCUUCAAAAAGGCAUAGACCAUUGGCCAUUCUCUGACCAUCUCAAGCCAGAGGUGACUUGAUCUGUCACCCAGCUGUGGCCCAUGAGCAUUAUCUAAGGAGGAACAUUUUUGCUUACGUUUCCAGUGCUCUACAUAAGCCCUAGGCCCUGGAAGGAGGCACUGAAAUGCUCAAUGGGAGCUCCAUGUGUGCAGGCUUAUGGACUGAAAUACUACUUUCAUGGCUCUGGCUAUGAACAUCAGCAUAUAGAGAAUGGAUCACUACCAAAGAAGGCACCCGAAUGUGUCUGUCUCAUCCUGGGGAAACUCAUUCAUCUGUAUAUGUACUCAGCAAGUGUUUCCUGGCACCUGCUCUGGGUCACAGUGCUGGGCACUGGAAGCUGAGAGAUGUGGAAGAAGGCUGGACAUUCAAGGGCUUUGAGAAGCUUGUAAUCCCUAGAGGAGAUGACUACAGUACCCAAGGGGUGCAAUAACCCUGUGUACACGACCCCUUGCUGGAUGCCUGGGUUUACUCUUGAGGUCACUAUGGGAUGACUUCUGAUAUUCACAGUAGCAAACUGAUCAGUUCUUGCAGCAAUACGGCAGAUACCAGUGCUUCAACCAGAGGAACUGCCAACUCUAGAGCAAGUUAAUGCCACCCAACAUCAAGGAUAUCUACAUUGGUGUUUUCUCCUUGUGGGAGAGAAUGCUGUGGUCUUCCACUAUCAUUUUUUUCUUAUUGAAAAUCUUAAAUUUUUAGCUAGACUUAUUGCCAUCCAGUGAAAAGAUCCUACUUCCCAGUAGUCCUUGCAGCUACAAGCAGCUGUGAAAGUGUGAUGGUUGGAGCUCCAGCAGCCCUCCUAGACCAUGAGCUGGCCUUGAGAAUGGAAGUCACCUACUGAGAAUGACACAGUCUUGCUCCAUAAUGACACCAAGGAACCACCACACAAGUUUGUUUAAGCUGCUUUCAUUUGGGGUCUUUAUAUGUAGUUGAAACUUACACUGAUACACACUUGUUGCUGUAAAAAGUCCUGGUUCCAAAGCACCUAGAAACCAUACAGCAAAAGCACUGUGAAGCUGUUCACUCUCCAUGAACGUCCUUUCACCCUGUACCCAGACAGAGGUUCAUGAAAUUGAGUGGCACUGAGCAAUAGAUGAGUCACUCUGCUAGGAGCUCCCCCUUCUCAUAUCGCCCCAUGGACCACUCACCACUUUAUGCAUCUCACCCAUUCUUUCCUUGGGGUGAUUCACUUCCCAAUAGGCUCCUCUGCCUCCCAUCAAAAUAGAUCUCUAGUGGACGAGCCUCAGUAUUCAUUUGGCUAUGAUUUAAUUUUGGGGUGAAUACUCUUCAUGAUAAAGCUGCAAGUUUUGCUAUACUCUUUCCCCUGUAAAGUACAUGCAGAUCCUACCUAAUUUCUGGCCUUCAUUCAAGAUGCCUUUCUUAGAAAGACCAGGAGAGGGUUAGACUUCUUGCGGGCAUGCUGGUCUUCAGCUGGAAUCCCAAGGCACAGAGCGCUCACGUCAUAAUGAAGGGUAUGACCACAUGUGUGGCACUUUCUUCUGUUGUGAUCAGGCAGGUUUGACCUUGGGUUAGUAAGUCCCCCUCUGUAGUAACUGUGAUAGUUAGAUAUUUGCUCAACAUGUAAUUUCUCCUCCACCUUUGUGAGAGGAAUAUAGCCUCCCACCCCCUUGAUGUGAAGCUUGGCGAUGGGACUUGUUUGACCAACAGAAUCUGGGUAGCAAGGAGCGAGGUCCAAGUGUUAAGAUGAGAUACCUUAAUACUUUUCUGCUUGGCCCUCUGGGAGCAUUCAACUUACAUGAUAAGAACAUUCUGAGCUCCAGAAUAAGAUGCAUGGGGCAGAAUUUCUUCAGUUGACCUACAGACCUAGGGUCUGAAGCAAGGGCACUCUAGCUAAUCUACAGACCGGCAGCUUGAAAAUAGGUGCAACUCCAAAUAAACGUAAUAAAUAUAUACUCUUCCCUUACAACAGCUCUAGUUCCACUAGUUGUACCAAUCAGUGACUCCUGUUUUCAGCUACUACAUUUGUGGGGGUUUGGACGUAGCAUGAUUUCAGGAAAAGCUUAGCCAAUACAGUGAGAAAUCUCUUUUAUGCCUUAUAACAGCUCUCAAGUCCUUGGGUGGAAAGACACCUUCAAAAUCCACGGAUGUGAAUUCAGACUUGUAAAUACAGACAGAACAGGCCCCACCCUUUCUCUGGCAUUCUCUGUCUCUUGGUUUCUCUCUUUCCUGAAUGCGAAAAGGGGUGGCUCCAAAACACACCCAGAGAAGAGUCUCUUUCCUCUGAUUUGCUGCUGUCUCCUUCCAAGACCCAGUGCUCUCACGUUCUCUCAGCAGCAGUAGAUUCUUUUCAAACCACCCUCCAAAAUGCAGCCAGAGUUGUCUUCUGAGAACAACCAAAACACAGCCAGAGUUGUCUUCAGAGUGGUUCCUGAGACCAUCCUGUCUGAUCAUGUCAGUCGUAUGCUUGCAAUCCUUCAGUGUCUCUCCACAAGUAUUUAGUGAAAGUUUCCAUGUCUUAAGGCACAAAGCUCUUCAUGACCUAGGGCUUGCCAGCUCUUACUACUGUUCUCCUUACCCACCAGCCCCUCCAAUUCCAGAUCUUGCCAGCUCUUACUACUGUUAGGUCUUGCCAGCUUGGUCUUGCCAGCUCUUACUACUGUUCCCCUCAUUCACCAGCCCCUCCUAUUCCAGAGAGCUCCUCACACUUUCCAGAAGGCAUCAUGCUGCUCUCUGUCUCCACACUGGUGCACAUGCCAUUUCCAUGGCUUGGACACCCUUCCCUUAUUCCCUGGGGUGUGACUGUCUCAAGGUGACAGUGAUAUGAUUGAUGGAAAGAUGCCAAUAGCCACAGGAAAAGGAAACAUGUUCCUUUAAUAUGAAGUAGAAGAUACAACUACACACAGACCAACUCAUAAAGCCACGGGUACAGAAGCAGGCACAGUCUAAGAGAGUGUUAGUUAGGAUAUACUUUAGCAGCUGUAGCAGAGAGAGCUGAAUUCCUAAUGCAUCCAUCAGAACCCAGCUCAAGCCUCCCUAAAGCCUUCUUUGGUUUGCUCUGUGGCUCACUGCCCAAGGCCUGAUUUAGAAGCCCAUUACCUGGGCUCUUCAGGGGCCUAUCACUUAUCGUGGCACUGGUCUAACCAGGUUCAAAAGCCGUUCUGGGAUCUCCAUGUUGCAGGUGCUCAAUGCUUACUUAGUGAGCACCUGGGCUACUUGAGAUGGGCAUGGGAAACGUAGCAACAUGCUUGGCUGAUGUGUGCUGUGACCUGGAGAACAGGUGCUUUCCAUAGACUUAGAACUGUGCUCUUUAAACUGCCUCCCUGCCUCUGGGCUUCUCUCCAUAAUGCAGCCAAAGCGAUUUUCUACUGCACAGAGUUGGCCGUGCCACUCUCCUUAAAACCUUCCAAGAGCCCUCACUGCUCUGAGGCCAGCAGCUGAACCCUUCAACAUGGCUCACAAACAAAGGUUGCCAUAUUUAACAAAUAGAAAUCUAGGACACCCAUUUAUAUUUGAAUUGCAGAUAAACAUCAAUUCUUUUAGCAUAAGUAUAUCUCAUGCAAUAUUUGAGAUAUACUUAUAUUAAAAACAAACUUGUUGCUUAUAUGAAAUUCAAACUGAGUAUCUCGAAUUUUAUUGGCAACCCUGUUUACUUUGUCUAUGUCCCUGCUUUUUUCUGCAGCAUCCUCUCUCCCUAAGCAUCUGCCUCAGACCUACUAAACCUCUUUCUUCCUCUGGACUUUCUAUCAUGGCGCUUCUGUGAGAAUUAAAUGACUUAACACAUGUCAAGUGCUUAGAACAGUCCCUGUCCUAAGGGACUUACCUGGCUCAUGGUGGAAGACAUUGAAGUUUCACUGUGAUUGUUGUUGCCCACUCCGACGGGCACACCCGCCCCAAUCCCACUGCUCCACUUGGCCAGAUUAACUCUUACCCAUUCUAUAGCAAAGUGGUAAUCUCAGAUUAUCAGCCUCUUCUUUGGGACUCCUUUUCCAAUUGUUCCUUGAAUGAGAUUGGAAGUCCUUGGUGUAUACUCCCAAAUGCCUUGUACUUCCCCUACAACAGCUCUUACCUCACUUGGUCAUGUUUUCUUAGUCAGCUUUCCUACUAGACCAUAAUGUCUGCAGAGAAAGGAAUCUCUAUAUUGCUCAUGUAUCUGCCCUCCGUGCCCUGCAGAGUGCCUGGGAAAAGAGGUGGUAUUUAGUAUAUACUGAAUGAAUGAACAGCACCCCACAGCCCUCUAUUUUUUAGGAGCUGGUUUCCUAAAUAACUCAACCUCUUUGUGGUCAAGGUCAAGGGAGAUUCUAACACUGCCCAGCUGAAGUGCCCAUUCCACUUGGGGUGCUCAGUCCUGGUUCUGAGAAAGGAGGCAGACAAGCACUGUUUCUGUUUCAGUUCUGCCUUACCACCUGCAAACCAUGUGUAUGGUAUCAAGCAGUUUGCUUCUCUCCCCUGAAUUCCGGUGUCCUUAUCUGAGAUCUGGAGUCAAUAAAAUCCAUCUGGACAGGCUUUGGGGGAGAAUUAACUAUGAGGUGAUGCUAUGCUUGCAAAAAGACCCGGCACAUAGCAGGGACCAGACAAACAUGAGUCCCUGCUAUGGGCUAACUAGGGCCUCCUUCAGAGAAAAUAAAAAGUUCGGAAUCAUGUGACCAAUAUCUGGUCAGUUUGCAUGAGGCAGUGUAUUUCAGAUCAGAAUCAGGAAACCCUACACUUUAAAGAUGAGAGGGGAAAAAUGUGAAAGGAGAGAGGCCACGUCUGCAGACUUGAGAGAGAGAAAAAAGGGGCUGGAAGCAGCAGAUCAAUCAUCAAGGUGAAAACUUAAAAGACAAUUGAUUUUCCUCCUUGAUGUCCACGUUUCAAGGACCUUGUUGGGCUCCUCCUGGGAAAUCGACUUUGAGGCUCAUCUGCCAUGGAAAGACAUUUCCUCUGAGCUCUGUUUCCAGUGACUCCCAGGAUCCGGGCAGGGAGCAAACAGCAGGGUCUCUGGAGAUCAGCAGCUUGACCUCAGGGCCAUCCUGGCUCUCUUUCCCCAUAGCCCAGAGAGUGUCCAGAGUGCUGCACCUGGAGUCACUGCCCCUGAAUUCAACCCACUUGCCCUGGCUGUGUGGCCUUACAAGAGCCAAUUCACCUGCCUGACUGACAAUUGCUAGAAAAGCUUCAGGGUCUUGAUGGUCAGAGAUAAAUGGACAGGAUAGGGAGGAGCCAGAUGAUAGGAAUAAGAUGUGCCUUUGGGGAGCUGGGGAGGCAAUGUUUUCCAGGGUGGAGUUCAAGAAACAAGCAAGGUAAGAGGAGUGGAGCCAGGCAAGGCAUAAGGAAAGAGUGGACAAGAUAGAAAGGUCCGCAGUGCUUGCCGGGAGCUGGGUAAGGCACCUAUGUGGGGCAGGGUGCGAAUCUGGUUAAAAGCCCAGGGUCAAGGUUGACCUCUGUAGCUCUAACCUUGUAAAGAUGGCAUGAGGAUUACAUGUGGUAAUGGAUGGAAAGCCCCUGUCACAUAGGGCUUGAUGAAUGGGCUGAGUCAGAAGGAGAAUAUGAAUCAGGCGAAGGACAAAAUAAUCCAAUCCAGUUCCUCUUCCCUGUCCACACAGCACCUGCAAGCAGCACCUAACCCUGUUUCCUAGCCCCAGGUGCCCUGUCUAUGGGCACCUCUCAGCUCAGCCUCUGGGGAUGCCCUCCUGGCCCUGGGGUCUUGUGUGUUCUCCCAAAGGGACUGAGCUACUCCAGAGUAGUCCGCCCAGGUUCUACUUCCUUACUGCCCCUGCCCAAGUCUGGUCGGGUCCAUAAUCUUGUCCCGUACACCAGAACUGGCCUCCUCUGUGACCCACCAGGUGACCCAGAAGCUCACAAGCCUGUACCCUUCUCAAAGGGCCUAAUCGUGGAGGUUUACCUGCCCCUCCCCAUCCCAACCCCACCUGGCCAUGACCUUCAUUCAGGCCUUACCACUGACCCCUAGACUUGGCUGCAGCCUCCUCACAGGCCUCCCCAACCCCAGACCCUCCCUCUCCGGAGUCCCUUCUUUUCAUAAGCACCUGAGAAGUCUUUCUAAAACAUAAGUAAAAUUUUAUCACUCUCCUGCUUACAGAAACAGAAACAAAGAACAAAAAUAUUUUUCUUUUGUUUCCCAUCACCUACACAGGAAUGCUUUUAGUUGUUAGUGUAGGAUUUUUGUUUUGUUUGUUUGGAGCUCUUUUGUGGACCCGGCGUGCAAAAGGUCAAGUUAAUCAAGGUCAAAUAAUCCUUGGUCUGUGGGGGACUAAUGUCAGGAUCUUUCUGAUUGAUGUGUAUUCUCUUUUGUCACUAUUCUCCCUAUUAUAGGCAGCCACACACACAUGUUGUAUGGGUAUCCUUGAGCUUGCAUGAACCUUUGGAAAAUAAGAAUUGUUUUCAUCUGCAUAAGCAAUAGUGUAUUAAGACCUUGACGUGUUUCUUAUUUUUUCAUUCACUGUGUUAAAUUCUGUUCAUGUUGGUGCACAUACACUUAGUUCCAUCACUUCCACUGCCUUGCACGGACACUAAGCUCACCUCCAGCUCUCUCCCUGACAAAUCGCAUGUGCCAUGCAUAUUAUUGUACAUGUCCCCUUUGGAUUGGUGUGAGAAUUUCCAUGUGGGAUUGCAGGUUCAUAGGGCAUAUACUUCUCUGCAGUGUCGCUGCACCAGUCCCCACCCCACCAGCCCAAACUCCAGCACCUUCUACUCCCUCACUGCCUCUCCAGCCCCAUUUUCUGCCACCCCCACCUGAAGUUCCCAUUAACUGACAUGCUCACUAAUUCAAUGAAGGUGAGUGUUUUUGAAAGCCAUCUAGCCCAAUCCUCUUGUUUUACAGACUAGGACUCUAGGGCCCAGAGAGGGGACAUGAGUGGCCCAACUUCCCAAAGCUUAGAAAGGCUUACGUAGGGGAGCCUCUGUCUCUUCAUAAACGCUACUCAAAAGCAAAAGUUUUCUUCCACUUUUCAGAAGCAGAAAAUAGAGUUCCAGAGACACAAAGUUAGAAACUUUGGGUCUCAUGGAACAUUAGAAGGAAAGGGGAAAAUUGUGGCUCAUUUAUCCCUGAAAUUGCCUUCUUCCCUGAUGUGUAAGGUUAAGCAAGGGCUGCAUGCACCUACAGGGUAAGCAAGGGCUGGAUGCUAGUGUCAGAGGAAUCUGGGGGGUUGUGCUGCAUUUGGGCUCACUUCAUGUCAUGUACAGCAGCAACAUCCAGGGUCAGAUGGCCCACACCACUGCACUCACCUGGCCCCAGUACCAGCCUCUGAGGCCUGGGUGAUCUGAUGGGCCUUUCGUCAGCCUGAUCUUUGUGAGGAUUCAGCUAGGGAUAGCAUAUUUAGAGCAAAGUUUGUCUCCAUGUAGUCGUGAAUUAUCCCCACAAAUCAAAGCUGGUUUGGGAAACCCAAGGCAAAACUUAAGUCAGGUUAAGCUUAUAAAAUUGUUUGGGGACAACAGUAAUAUAAAUGAGCAGGCUCUUUAAUACAUUUAAAAUGAAGUCAUUGCAUUUUUCAUGGGGUUUUCAUUUCCUGUUCCCCCUCUGCCUCCAGGGCAUCAAUCCCACACUGAGAAAAUGUUUGGGAAGCAGAGGCUAGAGUGGAGAAGAAAGUGAUAUUGUGGCUGGCUUCCCCAGGGCGCCUCUUCAGUCAGAUCUACCCACAGGGGCCCCUACAGUGGUCCCCACACUGAGUAAAAAAAGAGAAUUACCCAUUUGGACUCAGGACCACUGGGUGCCCACCGUCUUGCACACCUAGACUGUAUCACUUUCCAGCUUCUGCAAGGAGAGCCAGGGCAUUUGUCUCCUGUGCGGCCCAUACUUUAUGCAAGAGCAACCACAUUCCACCUCCACACCUCCACCUCCCCUUAGCUCCCCAAAUCCACUCACAAGUUACAAUUUAAUAGGCAGAUCUAAUCUCACCAAGAUUCCAAAGUAUUCCAGUCAAUGCAUCCCAACUCUGCUUGUCUCUGCCUGUCCACAGCCUCCUCUUCUUCCUCCUCCCAAGCUGUGCCACAGCAGAGACCUGUCAGAGAGGAAUCAGAGGUUCUCCCCUGUUUAGCUUUGGCUUGUUUCAUUGGAAUUCUCAAUGGAAGAAUGCAAAGUCUUUUUAUAGUCUCCAAUAAAAUGUAGAGGCUAACGGUUGACAGCAUGGCCUUUGGAGCCAGGAAGCCCAGAUUUUUUGUCAGCUGUGUGAAUUUGGGCAAGUUAUUUAACCUCUCUGUGCCUAGAUUCCCCAACUAACAAAAUGGGAGUACUAAUACAUACCUACCUAUUAGCAGUACUUCCCUCACAGGCUUGAUUGUGGGAUUUAAAUAUGUUAAUGCCAAUGGUAAUAUGAUAAGAACAUGCUUGGCUUGUGGGAAGUGUGAGGUUAAGUGUUAGCUACAAUGAGGAUGAUUGAUGAGGAGGAGGAUGAGCAGACACAGACGGCAAAGAAAGAUGUAAAUUGGUUGAAUUGCCAAGCUCUGUACCAUCUUCCCCACAUUAUUCUUGGAGCUCAGAGAUUCUACACAUGUGCAAAAGAGCCUCCAGAGAACCAGUACUAACCUGGCCAGAGUGAAGUAAUUUCCCUGCUGAGGUUGAUGAUGGAUAGAUAUUCUAGACAUAUUGGAGGGUGGCACUCAUGAGCAGAUAUCUGAUACCAGACUGUUGCCAAGAUGGCUGGGGCUUUGCCUUCUUAGGACAGAGAAUUAGCACCCUCCACCCCGCAAGGUGCUCUAGUCUCCUGCUACUCAAAGUGUGGUCCAAGGAUGAAGGACAUGAGUUUCCUCUGGAAGUUUCUCCAAUAUGCAGAACCUCAGAUCUGUCCCAGGUCUGCUUAAUCAAAAUCUGCAUUUUAAUAAGAGCCCCAGGCGAUUUCUGUGUACACUAAAAUUUGAAAACUGCUCUUGUCAUCCAAACGCAGGGGAGUGGAUGUGGUGACCUUCCCUUUCUGCCCCCACUGGACUGCAUGAGCCACAUAUGGAGGGACGGUGUCUGUUUCAUUACUCACCUUGUCCUCAGAAUUGAGCUUCCUUCCUAUCACACAGGGAGCACUUGUAAAUUCUUGGCAGUAGAUGGAUGCAUGAGAAACUGAAUAGGUGAAUGAGUGAGUGCAUGACCGUGGGCUCAGAAGCCCAGUGUCUUGGUUUCAGGUCCUUGGUGAAUAGUGCCGGCAUAUCCCAGCAGAAGGCAAAAUUGGUGGACCAGACUAACACCUCUGCAGCACCGAAUUCACUGCCAAGAUUGAGCAAGACUGGCUUGAGAGACUUGAGACUUUCAGUAGUGUGCAGCAGGGUAGAGCUAGGUCAUGCAGGAACUGACCUUGUGUCUACCACAUGUCCCUGCUCUCAAUACUCAAGUGGCCCUGGCAAAGAAGGAAAUCAGGUCAGUCUGACAUGACUUAUUCUAAAUGCACCCAGGCAGACCAGCAGUGAGCCUCGCAUCCUUGUCUGGGCACUCACAGUCCAGUCCCUACAGACACCGGAUACCCUUUUCUGGGUUGAGAUAAUGGCUUAUAGAACUUGCCCCCUAUGAUGACUGAAAAUGUGAAUGACAUUUACCUGUUUCCAGACUUCCAGUCACUUCCAGACUUGCAUGAUUCCUUAAAUAUCAACAAACUGUGGCUUGGUAACCAUCUUUGCGAGUGUUUUAAUAACUCUAGUAUGUGGCUUGUCUGGGCCAAUGGGCAAGGGACAAACAGGGUAGCUCAGUGUUUGAUUGUGACACCCUCUUCUCCUCUUUUGGAUGUCUUUUAUCCCUACUAAUCUUUAUUCCAACCAGCACAGUCUAAAGAUUAUGCUAAAGAUCUGCCCAAAGAUAUUAGGGGCUGUUUGUAAUCACCUCAAAGUCUUAGAAGAUCUAUGGGCAGCUCAGAGAGACCUGCGCUCUUCAGAUAUUUCUUUGUCUUACUCCCAGCCAGCCGUUCCUCCUGUGAUCACUCAACUACAGAUCUUUAAGAAUGGAGCAAAAUGGGAUGUGCUCAAGAUUUCAUGACAAACAGAGCAGGGCUUGGAUCCCAGCUGGUGAGGGGCAGACAGCAGGGGAGAGCAGCUGGACACAAGGGGAUUCACUUGUGAAAUGUGAGAGUCCUCCUUUCCUCUUACCUUCCAUCCUGCCCUGCAGGUCUCCCCUGCACUGCCUUGAAGCAAACCAUUCUUGCUCUGCCUUUGCCCAUGUGAGCUGGUAAGGGUGGCAGACAGGGUGGUUGCCAACCCUCAAUAUCUGUUCCCACCCCUGCUUCCCUCCUUUUCAGUGGAACCCCUAUUUUGUUGGAUAUCCACCUUCCCCAACUUGCCCAUGUGCCUUGGAGGAAGUGGACACAACCCUGAGUGGUGCAUCCUGAUGAGUCUAAACUAAUCCCAUCCCCAUUGUCAAUGACUGGGAAUCAACUCUGGACAGUAAUCUGGGAGGAACAUCUGCAGGAUUGCUUCUAAGAGAGAUCUACCCGCUCUUAAAAGCAUACCCAGAGAAGAGAAGGUGCUGUCUUUUUCUCAGUGUCAACAAGUCUAGAUACGAUGGCUGGAAAUGGCUGUAGAGCUAUGGGGAAAAUCAGACUUCAGAUGAAGCCAAGAUAUCCUGGAUGGCAGAGAGAAAAUAUAAAAAAAGCCUAGGUCCUCCUCGAUGCCAUCGGUGGGCUUUUAAAUUAAUCAACCCAGAGCUUGCCUGCCUCUGGCCUGAUUGUAAUAUGAGGUAAUAAAUCUUAUUGUCUGGGCUUGUAAAGUUGGGUUUGCUAUAGCCAAAAGGGAAAAAGCAAAGUGUGUGAUUACAUGUAGAAAACUCAGGAGGAGCUGGGAUGUUUCUGUCUCCUUUGUGGUGAUUGAACUAAAGAGGAGUCUAGUCCUCAGUCUGAGGCUUUAGCCUCCUAUAAACACACACACACAUGCUUCACGGACACACACACACACAUGCAUGUCAACAGCCACCAAGAAAUGGAAGCAAUUAUGUGAAUAUUCCUAAGAGAAGAGCCUAGUUAUGUUUAAAGCUUAAAGUACAAGCGCCCAGUUUUGUUCAGGUCAGGGAAAUGAAGCACCACCCAGUGGGACUGGGUGAGAACAAGCCAAUUAAAUUGUGACAUUUUAUUAGUAUCUUGUCCUUGAGCUCAUGGCCUAAUUGUUGCAAGUUUGUCCAGGAGAGGACUUCUGAAACCAUAAUUCUGUUGCUAAAACUCAAACUCAUAAUUUUCAUGCUAAAUUGUCCUUCUUCUAUUCAGAGCCCAUUAUAUAAUUCAAGAGAUACAGCCUGAUGUGUAAAGUUCUUGUGAAGAUGAAGAUGAUGGAGCCAAGCCUGCUGGGUUGAGCCUUGCCCAGGCCAACCUGCUAUGGCCCAGGGGUCACCCUCUCAUCCACCCCUCUUCAGCCUUGCAAAAGCCACAACCUUGCACCUUGUCUCAG